Molecule: ribosomal RNA, 491 nt
Filed under: uncultured bacterium
Lineage: Bacteria
Description: partial 16S ribosomal RNA
Rfam family: Bacterial small subunit ribosomal RNA
Source: RNAcentral
AGUGAACGCUGGCGGUAGGCCUAACACAUGCAAGUCGAACGGCAGCACAGUAAGAGCUUGCUCUUACGGGUGGCGAGUGGCGGACGGGUGAGGAAUACAUCGGAAUCUACUUUUUCGUGGGGGAUAACGUAGGGAAACUUACGCUAAUACCGCAUACGACCUACGGGUGAAAGCAGGGGAUCUUCGGACCUUGCGCGAUUGAAUGAGCCGAUGUCGGAUUAGCUAGUUGGCGGGGUAAAGGCCCACCAAGGCGACGAUCCGUAGCUGGUCUGAGAGGAUGAUCAGCCACACUGGAACUGAGACACGGUCCAGACUCCUACGGGAGGCAGCAGUGGGGAAUAUUGGACAAUGGGCGCAAGCCUGAUCCAGCCAUACCGCGUGGGUGAAGAAGGCCUUCGGGUUGUAAAGCCCUUUUGUUGGGAAAGAAAAGCAGCAGGUUAACACCCCGCUGUUCUGACGGUACCCAAUGAAUAAGCACCGGCUAACUUCGU